UACGAAGGGGGCUAGCGUUGUUCGGAAUUACUGGGCGUAAAGGGUGCGCAGGCGGGAUCUUAAGUCAGGGGUGAAAUCCCGAGGCUCAACCUCGGAACUGCCCUUGAUACUGGGGUUCUUGAGUCCGGAAGAGGUGGGUGGAACUGCGAGUGUAGAGGUGAAAUUCGUAGAUAUUCGCAAGAACACCGGUGGCGAAGGCGGCCCACUGGUCCGGAACUGACGCUGAGGCACGACAGCGUGGGGAGCAAACAGG
RNAcentral lists this ribosomal RNA (253 nucleotides) under uncultured bacterium. RNAcentral describes it as "partial 16S ribosomal RNA". It matches the Rfam family "Bacterial small subunit ribosomal RNA", at positions 524 to 776 of the family's 1533-position model. The record is from RNAcentral.